Molecule: long non-coding RNA, 659 nt
Filed under: Equus caballus (horse)
Lineage: Eukaryota; Metazoa; Chordata; Mammalia; Perissodactyla; Equidae
Description: lncRNA (ENSECAG00000044557.1)
Source: RNAcentral
GCCUAGCUGACACAGGAGUGGGAUGUGAACGGCUGACUAGCCCCACUACAAAUAGCCUCUUUCAGUUUCAUUGAUGCCAGGUGGGAGUAGAUGCUCAGCUACCCGCUGGGCCCGACUGACAGUACCAAAGCAGGAAAAUCAGAGCGUUGCUUGCUUCUGCUGGUGGCAGACAGAAGAUUAGCUCCCUGUUUGACCCUGGAACACCACCAGAUUGUGAACUUACCUUCAACUGUAGAAGCCAGAUCCUACCAUCCCCAGCCUCCCUUCCACUGAGGUACAGAUUUUUGACUUGGGUUCCACCAAUCAGAUGAAAUCGGUGUGAGACAUCGUUUGGAAGCCAACUGCAAGAGGACCAGGCAGGGUCUAGGGCACCCGUGUUGCUGGUGUGCUGGAGGCAGAGGCAAAGUGGUUCUGGGGUCACAUCUUCCUUAGCAGUGCAAGCAUUUCAAGUUAUCCUCUUCCCCUCUAAGCAAUGCUAAGCUUUAUCCCACAAAUUUUGGUAUGUCAGGUUUUCAUUAUCCUUCAGUUAGAAAUAUAUUCUAAUUUCUCUUGUGAUUUCUCCUUUGACACGUGUUAUUUAAAGUGUUUAAUUUCCAAAUAUGGGGGGAAUUUUCAUUUUCCUGACAUCUUUCUCAUAUUGAUUUCUAUUUUAAUUCCAC